CUCCAAUAGCGUAUAUUAAAGUUGCCUGCAGUUAAGAAGCUCGUAGUUUAAUCUCGGUAUUAUUGUUGCCUGCUGGCUUUAGAGGCGCCAGCUGGCCUAGCGGUGCAUAGGUGAGCCUUUGUAGCGUGAGUCGGCGUGUAAGCGGUGAUACCUUUCAGCCAUGUCUGUGGUACAAUAUCCACAGGUGUAGGCGAGCGCCAGGCGGUGCCCUGCAACUGUGGGGUUCGUCGGCUUGUCUGCAUGCCUAUGGGUGCCCUUUAAAAGGUGUCUGUGGGCGGAUGGCUCGUAUACUUUGAACAAAUUUGAGUGCUCAAACCAGGCCGAUGCUGCCUGAAAAGUUUUGCAUGGACUAAUGGAAUAGGACUUCGGUUCUAUUUCGCUGGUUCUUCGGAUCCUAAGAAAUU
This 404-nucleotide ribosomal RNA is filed under the name Schyzocotyle sp. CJP-2020. RNAcentral's name for it is "SSU rRNA". It matches the Rfam family "Eukaryotic small subunit ribosomal RNA", at positions 589 to 867 of the family's 1831-position model. Lineage: Eukaryota; Metazoa; Platyhelminthes; Cestoda; Bothriocephalidea; Bothriocephalidae. The record is from RNAcentral.